Molecule: ribosomal RNA, 2074 nt
Filed under: Campylobacter coli
Lineage: Bacteria; Pseudomonadati; Campylobacterota; Epsilonproteobacteria; Campylobacterales; Campylobacteraceae
Description: partial 23S ribosomal RNA
Rfam family: Bacterial large subunit ribosomal RNA
Source: RNAcentral
AAAAAAGGUAAGCUACUAAGAGCGAAUGGUGGAUGCCUUGACUGGUAAAGGCGAUGAAGGACGUACUAGACUGCGAUAAGCUACGGGGAGCUGUCAAGAAGCUUUGAUCCGUAGAUUUCCGAAUGGGGCAACCCAAUGUAUAGAGAUAUACAUUACCUAUAUAGGAGCGAACGAGGGGAAUUGAAACAUCUUAGUACCCUCAGGAAAAGAAAUCAAUAGAGAUUGCGUCAGUAGCGGCGAGCGAAAGCGCAAGAGGGCAAACCCAGUGCUUGCACUGGGGGUUGUAGGACUGCAAUGUGCAAGAGGUGAGUUUAGCAGAACAUUCUGGAAAGUAUAGCCAUAGAGGGUGAUAGUCCCGUAUGCGAAAAACAAACCUUAGCUAGCAGUAUCCUGAGUAGGGCGGGACACGAGAAAUCCUGUCUGAAGCUGGGUCGACCACGAUCCAACCCUAAAUACUAAUACCAGAUCGAUAGUGCACAAGUACCGUGAGGGAAAGGUGAAAAGAACUGAGGUGAUCAGAGUGAAAUAGAACCUGAAACCAUUUGCUUACAAUCAUUCAGAGCCCUAUGUAGCAAUACAGGGUGAUGGACUGCCUUUUGCAUAAUGAGCCUGCGAGUUGUGGUGUCUGGCAAGGUUAAGCAAACGCGAAGCCGUAGCGAAAGCGAGUCUGAAUAGGGCGCUUAGUCAGAUGCUGCAGACCCGAAACGAAGUGAUCUAUCCAUGAGCAAGUUGAAGCUAGUGUAAGAACUAGUGGAGGACUGAACCCAUAGGCGUUGAAAAGCCCCGGGAUGACUUGUGGAUAGGGGUGAAAGGCCAAUCAAACUUCGUGAUAGCUGGUUCUCUCCGAAAUAUAUUUAGGUAUAGCGUUGUGUCGUAAUAUAAGGGGGUAGAGCACUGAAUGGGCUAGGGCAUACACCAAUGUACCAAACCCUAUCAAACUCCGAAUACCUUAUAUGUAAUCACAGCAGUCAGGCGGCGAGUGAUAAAAUCCGUCGUCAAGAGGGAAACAACCCAGACUACCAGCUAAGGUCCCUAAAUCUUACUUAAGUGGAAAACGAUGUGAAGUUACUUAAACAACCAGGAGGUUGGCUUAGAAGCAGCCAUCCUUUAAAGAAAGCGUAAUAGCUCACUGGUCUAGUGAUUUUGCGCGGAAAAUAUAACGGGGCUAAAGUAAGUACCGAAGCUGUAGACUUGCGCACAACUUAGAUUAUUUAAGUUUAGAAUAUGAGAAACUAAGUUAUAUGUUUAGUUAUAUUUUUACUGAUUUUUAUAGAGUAAAGAUAGAAAUAAAACUUAGUAAAAUCAGUAAAAAUAUUCUUAGACUAAAGUUAAGUAGUUUAAGUUGUGUGCAAGUGGUAGGAGAGCGUUCUAUUUGCGUCGAAGGUAUACCGGUAAGGAGUGCUGGAGCGAAUAGAAGUGAGCAUGCAGGCAUGAGUAGCGAUAAUUAAUGUGAGAAUCAUUAACGCCGUAAACCCAAGGUUUCCUACGCGAUGCUCGUCAUCGUAGGGUUAGUCGGGUCCUAAGUCGAGUCCGAAAGGGGUAGACGAUGGCAAAUUGGUUAAUAUUCCAAUACCAACAUUAGUGUGCGAUGGAAGGACGCUUAGGGCUAAGGGGGCUAGCGGAUGGAAGUGCUAGUCUAAGGUCGUAGGAGGUUAUACAGGCAAAUCCGUAUAACAAUACUCCGAGAACUGAAAGGCUUUUUGAAGUCUUCGGAUGGAUAGAAGAACCCCUGAUGCCGUCGAGCCAAGAAAAGUUUCUAAGUUUAGCUAAUGUUGCCCGUACCGUAAACCGACACAGGUGGGUGGGAUGAGUAUUCUAAGGCGCGUGGAAGAACUCUCUUUAAGGAACUCUGCAAAAUAGCACCGUAUCUUCGGUAUAAGGUGUGGUUCGCUUCGUAUUAGGAUUUACUCCGAAAGCGAAGAAACUUACAACAAAGAGUCCCUCCCGACUGUUUACCAAAAACACAGCACUCUGCUAACUCGUAAGAGGAUGUAUAGGGUGUGACGCCUGCCCGGUGCUCGAAGGUUAAUUGAUGGGGUUAGCAUUAGCGAAGCUCUUGAUCGAAGCCCGAGUA